This 969-nucleotide ribosomal RNA is filed under the name Triticum aestivum (bread wheat). RNAcentral's name for it is "partial small subunit ribosomal RNA". Lineage: Eukaryota; Viridiplantae; Streptophyta; Magnoliopsida; Poales; Poaceae. The record is from RNAcentral.
AUGGCGAACCCCUCUGAUGCUCACACCGCCACAAGCGGGGACGGCGCGGCAGCCGCUAAGGCCGAUCUGGGAGAAUUUUUUGAUCAACUCGAUCUCAACGAUGAAGAAUUUGACGAUGUCGUGGUGGAUGAAGAUGAUCCAGAGAUCAAUGAGAGUGUUCGAUGGCUUGCACUAGUGAGGGUUCAUACACGGAAAACCUUCAGCCAAUCUGCUUUUUAUAAAGACAUGAGAGCAGCAUGGAAUCCAACGCAAAGUGUGAGGUUCCGCCCCAUCGGCCCUAAUCUGUUCGUUGUUCAGGCAUACUGCUUAGGGGAUUGGGAACACAUGUUGAUGCAGGGACCAUGGUUGUUCCGCAACUGGGCUGUUCUUUUGUGCCCGUAUGAUGGAUUCAGCAAUGCGGAGGGAAUCAGUUUUGUUCAUAUGCCUAUAUGGCUCCAGAUUCACAAGUUACCUAAAGUUUAUUGCAAGGAGGAGCUGGUUGUAAAACUUUUGAAGGAUGCAGGCGAGAUACUGGACAUGCAUUUGAAUGGUAAUACUCGCGGUGAUUAUGUGAGGGUGCGGGUUAAGCAUGAUAUCGACCGGCCGCUCACAAAGUAUGUUAGCAUUUUUCGCGGCAAGGAACGUCGAGUCUAUCUGGUCAGGUAUGAAAAGUUAGGAAGGUUUUGUAAAGUAUGUGGGCUGAUAGGGCAUGAGUUCAAGGAGUGUGGCUUGGGUAUUCAUGAUGAAACAAAGAUGAAGUAUGGGGACUGGCUGUAUGCCGAGGGGCCAAAUAAAACUCGUGUUAAUGGUCCUCCUCGGAAAAAUAGCGAUGAGAGAACUAGAGGAAAGCAAGACAUACAGCAGACCAAAGAUGGAGGCACAGAGAAGGAUCGUGAUGGGGAUAAUACAGAGCUAGCUGAUACGGCUUCAAGUCCAGUUAAAAGUCAUGGGGGCGGAUGGAGGUGGAUAAGGAUCCGAGAAAGCGGCUAA